RNAcentral lists this ribosomal RNA (254 nucleotides) under uncultured bacterium. Its description in RNAcentral is "partial 16S ribosomal RNA". It matches the Rfam family "Bacterial small subunit ribosomal RNA", at positions 524 to 776 of the family's 1533-position model. The record is from RNAcentral.
UACGUAGGGUCCGAGCGUUGUCCGGAAUUAUUGGGCGUAAAGGGCUCGUAGGCGGUUCGUCACGUCGGGAGUGAAAACUCGGAGCUUAACUCCGAGCCUGCUUCCGAUACGGGCAGACUAGAGGUAGGCAGGGGAGAGCGGAACUCCUGGUGUAGCGGUGGAAUGCGCAGAUAUCAGGAGGAACACCGGUGGCGAAGGCGGUUCUCUGGGCGAUGUCCUGACGCUGAGGAGCGAAAGUGUGGGAGGCGAACAGG